Molecule: long non-coding RNA, 198 nt
Organism: Austrofundulus limnaeus
Lineage: Eukaryota; Metazoa; Chordata; Actinopteri; Cyprinodontiformes; Rivulidae
Exons: 3
Source: RefSeq, a predicted model, not a curated record
AGAUGAGACUGGACCAGCUGGAGGUCUGGAUGUCUGGAUGUCUGUAGACCUGGAGGUCUGGAUGUCUGGAGGUCUGUAGACCUGGAGGUCUGGGUGUCUGGAGGUUUGUAGACCUGGUGGUCUGUAGACCUGGAGGUCUGGGUGUCUGGAGGUCUGUAGACCUGGAGGUCUGGAUGUCUGGAGGUCUGUAGACCUGGA